RNAcentral lists this long non-coding RNA (2291 nucleotides) under Pan troglodytes (chimpanzee). RNAcentral describes it as "long non-coding RNA NONPTRT015956". Lineage: Eukaryota; Metazoa; Chordata; Mammalia; Primates; Hominidae. The record is from RNAcentral.
GACAUUUUAAGUCUAGAGGGCAUGACGCUUUCAAAGAUCAAUCAGGCAGCCCUGAGCUGCUUAAGAGACCUUUCUGCCUGUAGCUCUGACAAAACCUGUUUUCUUGGAUGCUGCUUCCACCCGCUCUCCAUCCCUUCCUGCUCUAACAGAAGGGAUCUUUUCCCUGACUAGUCUUGCUCCUCCUUCAAACCCCAGCUGUCCUGGUCUCUGGCUGGAAGCCUUCUGUGAACACCAGCCUGGGUGGGAGCCCCUUUCUCUGCCUCAUAGCAGCAGAGGACGGCGGGGUCUGCCUAGCACAUGGCAGGGUGCAGUGCCUGUCUGAAUGUGUGAAGAGUUCUUAGUGAUGGGUAAAGGGUGUUCCUGUGUGUUUUAGAUUCUGCUCAGCAAUCCUCAGAUGUGGUGGUUAAAUGAUUCCAAUCCUGAAACCGACAACCGUCAAGAAAGUCCUUCCCAGGAAAACAUUGACCAAUUGGUGUACAUGGGUUUUGAUGCACUUGUGGCCGAAGCUGCGCUGAGAGUGUUCAGAGGCAACGUCCAGCUGGCCGCCCAGACCCUUGCUCACAACGGAGGAAGCCUGCCUCCCGAGCUGCCGCUGUCGCCAGAAGACUCUUUGUCCCCGCCAGCCACAUCCCCUUCUGACUCCGCAGGUAGGUCUGAGGUCUCUGAGGGCCACAUUGAGAGCAAAGUGUCUUCAGAAGCCAACAGAUGUGGCCCUAAGCCACGGCAGAUGUGGAGACUGAGGGGGCGUCCCCUGACGUCACCGGGCCGGCCACCUGGACAGUGUGGCCAGCAAGAGGCACAGUCUGAGGUUGACUGUGGUCGUGCAGUGUCCCCAGGACAAUCCUCACAUAAUUCACUUACUCCUGCGGUAUUUUAUUGUAGGAACCUCUAGUGCCUCAACAGACGAAGACAUGGAGACAGAGGCCGUCAAUGAGAUACUGGAAGACAUUCCAGAGCAUGAGGAAGACUAUCUUGACUCAACUCUGGAAGACGAAGAAAUUAUUAUUGCAGAGUACCUAUCCUAUGUAGAAAACAGGAAGUCAGCAACAAAGAAAAACUAAAUAAUGAACAGAAAUAGCGCUAAUUUUCUGCUUAUAAAUGCUAUCAUUAUGAAAAGGCUAAUGCAGCUCUUUCUGUUCUUACCUUUUAUCUGAAUUGCAAGUCCUCUUUGGGUGUAGGAGGGGGUGGGCAGGGGACAAGUCCAGGAGGGGUCCCAGGGCCUUCAUGCGUGGUCUCGGGGAAGAAGCUUCCUCUGGCCUGGCGCAGGCCGUUCCAUCUGCCUCCCAGGUCUGCGUCCCUAACCCCUUCCCCAGCUUGGUGUUUUACCCCGAAACAGGAAGGAACAGGGGUCCUGUGGAACAGGGGUCCUGGGGAAGGUGUCCAGGGCAGGGUCCUGGGAAGGGUGUCCCGACCACUUCCUCUCCAGCUGUGGCUCCAUCUGCCCAGCUUGCCUACCUCCUGCACCCACUGCCCAUGACCUUCCUGCUUCCCACGCUGCCAUCUCUGCCAGGGUGCCCCAUGGGUUCCUGUGCCACCCUUUCCCCGCCCCUCAAAUCGUCCUUUAAGUAAGUCUUCCUUCCAAGUGCUGUGGGGCAUAACGAUGAGGCACUGGCCUUGGGGGCCACACCAGGUCGCAGCAAAUGCCUUCAGCCUGGGACGCCAGUGUUUUAUGCUCUUAGUUCAGUAAAAUACGCCCCCAAAAUUCAAGAUUGAGUGUCAGGCUUUAUAUAUAUUCAGCAUUCCUCAUUACAGAAAUCUUUUAUUGAAUGGGAAAGGUUUAAAUGCUAACCAAAGCAAUUUAUUUUUAAUUAAUAUUUUUAGACUGUGCUGUCAUACUGAACUCACUGCUAGCUAAGAGACCUAUCAGAGAUUUAGAUAUAUUUUCUCCAGGUUUUUUGUGGGGUUUUUUUUUGUUGUUGUUGUUCCAGCCAUGUGACAGAGGCUCUUUCUAAAAGUAUGUAGUUCGCUGUGUGUCGGCUCCAGCAGUAACCGUCCUCACUGCGCCACGCACUCCUCUGUAGAUGUGUGCCCAGUGGGAGUUCCUUCCAGCCCCAGGACCGCAGCAGCAGCCAGGUGCCGAGUGGAUUGAGUGCCAGGUGUAUCCAAGACUUUCCCUCCCUUCCAGAAGGCACUGGCUGAAGACAGGAUGGAUCAUGCGGAGCCGGCUGAAAUGCUCCAACUUUUUCAAAGUGUGGGUGGUCCAGUUUGGACUGAUGGGAAUCUUCUUGUCAUUCUUUUUAAACGGAUGAUACCGAUGGAAAUAAAAGGAUGUCUGUUUCCACUGAGUUUUG